This 201-nucleotide long non-coding RNA is filed under the name Vicia faba (fava bean). The record is from RNAcentral. Lineage: Eukaryota; Viridiplantae; Streptophyta; Magnoliopsida; Fabales; Fabaceae.
AUGACUUUCUCUUAUAGAAUGAUCUUGUUCAGAGUUCUGCUCCUUGUACUAAUCAUUUUUGUAACAUCUCAAACAAGAGUAGAUGGCAGACCAUUAUCCAUAAAUUACUAUGAAUGGUCUUCUUGGGGUAAUGGACUUCUCUUACAAUCUCUUCCAAACGCUCCUGCACCUCCUUCAACAGGAGAUCAUACUCAUCCUUAA